GGUGAACCUGCGGAAGGAUCAUUAAAGUAUCUUUCUCAACCUGCGCUUAAUUGCGCGGUUGGAAACCAUAUACACUAUGUUUUUGUUUAUGUUUCUUUUGAAAUUAAUUUAUAUCGUGGGGAAAAGUAGGUAACUAUUUUUUUCAUGUCGAUGAAAUUAUUUUUGACCGAAGCAUCAAUUUCUAAACUCCUUCCAAUUUAUUUUGGGAAUGUAUUUUUAUUACUUAAUUCAUCAUAAAAUAGUUUUUUAAUUAUUAACAAAAUUUAAAACUUUCAGCAACGGAUCUCUUGGUUCUCGCAUCGAUGAAGAACGCAGCGAAUUGCGAUAAGUAAUAUGAAUUGCAGAUUUUCGUGAAUCAUCGAAUCUUUGAACGCAUAUUGCACUCUUUAGUAUUCUGGAGAGUAUGCCUGUUUGAGCGCCAUUUCUCUCUUAAACCCUAGGGUUUAGUAAGAUGGAGCGUGUUGCAUUAUGCAACUGCUCUGAAAUGUCUAAUGGUUGUACUCUAACACUAGUUUACUAGUAAUAGGCUAGGAAUUUCAAUAUUAGGUUUUACCAACUAUUGGAUGAUAACUAGUUUGU
RNAcentral lists this ribosomal RNA (579 nucleotides) under Saccharomycopsis selenospora. RNAcentral's name for it is "eukaryotic LSU rRNA". The stretch from base 268 to 421 matches the Rfam family "5.8S ribosomal RNA". Lineage: Eukaryota; Fungi; Ascomycota; Saccharomycetes; Ascoideales; Saccharomycopsidaceae. The record is from RNAcentral.